RNAcentral lists this ribosomal RNA (812 nucleotides) under uncultured bacterium. RNAcentral describes it as "bacterial SSU rRNA". It matches the Rfam family "Bacterial small subunit ribosomal RNA", at positions 593 to 1401 of the family's 1533-position model. The record is from RNAcentral.
CGAGAAAAGUACAGGUGCAGCGGGAAAGAGCCGUUGAAAACUCACUGAAAUAGAGGAUGUUAGAUAGAAGGGAAAUUCCCGGAGGAGCGAUGGAUUUGUGCAGUUUUCGGUGGAUCCUCCGUGGGUGAAAGGAGCCCUCCAGGGCCAUUCAUAUCGAUCAGGCGCGAAAGCUAGGGUAGCAAACGGGAUUAGAGAACCCCGGUAGUCCUAGCCCUAAACGAUGGGUACUAGGUGUUCGCCCCUUCAAGGGGUGAGUGCCGCAGCUAACGCAUUAAGUACCCCACCUGGGGAGUACGAUCGCAAGGUUGAAACUCAAAGGAAUUGACGGGGACCCGCACAAGCGGUGGAGGAUGUGGUUUAAUUCGACGCAACGCGAAGAACCUUACCUGGUCUUGACAUGCUGGUGAAAUCCGUGGAAACACGGCCCUCCCGCAAGGGACGCCAGUACAGAUGGUGCAUGGCUGUCGUCAGCUCGUGUCGUGAGAUGUUGGGUUAAGUCCCGCAACGAGCGCAACCCUUACCCUUAGUUGUUUUCCCGAAAGGAUUACCCUCUAAGGGGACUGCCCCGGACAACGGGGAGGAAGGCGGGGAUGAUGUCAAGUCCGCAUGCUUCUUACGACCAGGGCUACACACGUCCUACAAUGGGGUCGACAGAGGGAUGCAAAGCCGCGAGGUAGAGCCAAUCCCUAAACGGCCUCUCAGUUCGGAUAGUAGUCUGCAACUCGACUACUUGAAGUCGGAAUCGCUAGUAAUGGCGGAUCAGCAUGCCGCCGUGAAUACGUUCCCGGGUCUUGUACUCACCGCCCGUCAAG